RNAcentral lists this ribosomal RNA (960 nucleotides) under Triticum aestivum (bread wheat). RNAcentral describes it as "partial small subunit ribosomal RNA". The record is from RNAcentral. Lineage: Eukaryota; Viridiplantae; Streptophyta; Magnoliopsida; Poales; Poaceae.
AUGGGUUCGAUUACCGACAUUGCAAGAUCAUCGACUCGAUUACAUCUGAACAUUGCAACCAAAACAUGGGUUCCAUUACCAACAUUGCAACCAAAACAUGGGUUCCACUACCGACAUUGCAAGAUCAUCGACUCGAUUACUUCUGAUGAGAUCACCAAAACAAAACCUAAUGGACUAGAACUACUCCUCAGAUUCAGAACCGGCAAUACCGACAUGCAUGACCCGAGACUCGGAGAGGGAUAUGCGGUGGAUUGUUUCUCUGAUCAGUACCUUCGACGGGAGUACCCUCCACUGGCGCCGCCGUCGUCGCUGUUCGAGUCGCGCUCCAUGUCGAGCGACUCGCUGCACUCCGGCUCCCCUCCCUCAGUCUCUUCGCUCCCGCCCUCCUCGUCGCUGGCCCUCUCGCCCUCCUCUUCUUCUUCCUGCUGGGCCUCCAGAGCCUCCAGGUCCGCCAGCUUCUCUUUCAUGGCAGCAACAUCCCGCUUCUUCUUCCUCGUCUCCAACUCCUGCUCUUCGGCCGACAUGGAAGCUCUCUUCGCCGACGCCGCGCCCGCCUCCUUCCCCUCAUUCUUCACAGCUUUCUUGGCCGAUGCAGCCGCAGCCGCAGAGGCCGUCUUCUUGGCAACCGACGCCGCACCGGCCUCCUUGUCCACCGCCUUCUUCCCCGCCGCCGUGGCCGCUUUCUUGGCCGCCGCCGCGCCCUCCUCCUCCUCCACCACCGCCUUGAGAUCGUCAGCGCCGGUCACCUUGCCCGCCUUGAGGUCGUCGACGCCGGCCUCCUUCUCCGCCGCCUUCUUCCCCGCCACCGUGGCCGCUUUCUUGGCCGCCGCCGCGCCCUCCUCCUCCUCCUCCACCGCCUUGAGAUCGUCAGCGCCGGUCACCUUGCGCGCCUCGAGGUCGUCGACGCCGGCCUCCUUGGUCGCCUCCUCUGCGUUGGCCUUGUCGCCGCCGGCCUCCUGA